AAUGAACGCUGGCGGCGCGCCUAAUACAUGCAAGUCGAGCGAGAAGACGUAGCAAUACGUUUGUAAAGCGGCGAACGGGUGAGGAAUACAUGGGUAACCUACCCUAGAGUGGGGAAUAACUAGCCGAAAGGUUAGCUAAUACCGCGUACGCUCCUUGGACUUCGGUUCAGGGAGGAAAGCGAUGCCGAGGGUAUCGCGCUCUUGGAUGGGCUCAUGUCCUAUCAGCUUGNGGUGAGGUAACGGCUCACCAAGGCUUCGACGGGUAGCUGGUCUGAGAGGACGAUCAGCCACACUGGCACUGCGACACGGGCCAGACUCCUACGGGAGGCAGCAGUAAGG
This 339-nucleotide ribosomal RNA is filed under the name uncultured bacterium. RNAcentral describes it as "bacterial SSU rRNA". It matches the Rfam family "Bacterial small subunit ribosomal RNA", at positions 29 to 359 of the family's 1533-position model. The record is from RNAcentral.